UACGAAGGGGGCUAGCGUUGUUCGGAAUUACUGGGCGUAAAGCGCGCGUAGGCGGCUUUGCAAGUCGGGUGUGAAAUCCCCAGGCUUAACCUGGGAACUGCAUUCGAGACUGCAUUGCUAGAGUAUGGGAGAGGGAAGUGGAAUUUCAGGUGUAGCGGUGAAAUGCGUAGAUAUCUGAAGGAACAUCAGUGGCGAAAGCGACUUCCUGGACCAAUACUGACGCUCAUGUGCGAAAGCGUGGGGAGCAAACAGG
RNAcentral lists this ribosomal RNA (253 nucleotides) under uncultured bacterium. RNAcentral describes it as "partial 16S ribosomal RNA". It matches the Rfam family "Bacterial small subunit ribosomal RNA", at positions 524 to 776 of the family's 1533-position model. The record is from RNAcentral.